RNAcentral lists this ribosomal RNA (468 nucleotides) under uncultured bacterium. RNAcentral's name for it is "partial 16S ribosomal RNA". It matches the Rfam family "Bacterial small subunit ribosomal RNA", at positions 28 to 507 of the family's 1533-position model. The record is from RNAcentral.
GACGAACGCUGGCGGCGUGCUUAACACAUGCAAGUCGAACGGAAAGGCCCUGCUUUUGUGGGGUGCUCGAGUGGCGAACGGGUGAGUAACACGUGAGUAACCUGCCCUUGACUUUGGGAUAACUUCAGGAAACUGGGGCUAAUACCGGAUAGGAGCUCCUGCUGCAUGGUGGGGGUUGGAAAGUUUCGGCGGUUGGGGAUGGACUCGCGGCUUAUCAGCUUGUUGGUGGGGUAGUGGCUUACCAAGGCUUUGACGGGUAGCCGGCCUGAGAGGGUGACCGGCGACAGUGGGAAUGAGAUACGGGACGGAGUGCUACGGGAGGCAGCAGGGGGGAAUGUGGCACAAGGGGCGGAAGUCUGAUGCAGGAACGCCGCGUGGGGGAUGACGGCCUUAGGGUGGUAAACCGCUUUAGCCUGGGACGAAGCGUGAGUGACGGUAAGGGAGAAAGAAGCACCGGCUAACUACGUG